This 775-nucleotide long non-coding RNA is filed under the name Eutrema salsugineum. Its description in RNAcentral is "long non-coding RNA (ESAL_LNC001966)". The record is from RNAcentral. Lineage: Eukaryota; Viridiplantae; Streptophyta; Magnoliopsida; Brassicales; Brassicaceae.
UCGACGACAAUAACCCAAGAGAGGCACUAGAUUCCGAUGACUCAUCCGACCAAUACUCACGAUCUCCGCCACGAACUCUUUCAUCCCUUGUCGUGACUCGUGAGAGAUUUUUUUAACGGCGAUCUCCAGCUUCGUCCCAGGCAUCACACCUUUGUAAACGCUCCCGAACCCGCCAGAUCCGAGAAGGUCCUUCUCCUUGAACCCUUUGGUCGCAUAAUACAAAUCCUUGAACCUGAAUCUGUUCUUGCCAAACUCUUUCUCCCAAUCGUCGAGCUCCUCCGCGAAUUUCCUCCUCCUCCUCACGAUGAAACAGAUGAGGAAGAUCAAAGAGAAAAUCAAAAAUAGAGAAAUCAAAGGCAUACCGAUCUUGAAAAAAUCGGAGAUUCUCCUGGGCUCGAACCGAGGAAGCUUUGGGAGCUUCGAUAAAGCCAAAGGCGGAGCCUUUACGUUCAGACCAAAACUCCACCCGAGAACAAAAUGUUCCGACAGAACAGAACCAGUCGCGGAAGAGAAACCCACGAACAUAUCUUGCCGAAGAACCGAAGAUAGAUCUUUUACAGCCGAAACAAGCACCUUUCUAGGUUUAUCCUCGUUGAACGGAGCCAUCGUCACAUCGAUUUUAUGAGAAAGACCAUCGUAAUCGACCCAAACUUGCAUCGGCUUACGACUGAUCAAACUCAGAUUCUUGAAUUGGUCUUUCUCGUUCCACCACCCAGCAUAUGAAGCUCUCUCAGACUUCAAACUAUUGAUAUUGAUUCCGACAUGGUUAUCGUCG